AAAUGCGAUAAGUAGUGUGAAUUGCAGAAUUCAGUGAAUCAUCGAAUCUUUGAACGCACAUUGCGCCCCUCGGUAUUCCGUGGGGCAUGCCUGUUCGAGCGUCAUCUACACCCUCAAGCUCUGCUUGGUGUUGGGCGUCUGUCCCGCCUCCGCGCGCGGACUCGCCCCAAAUGCAUUGGCAGUGGUUCCUUGCCCCCCUCUUUGCGCAGCACAUUGCCAUUCGAGGCGGCGGCGGCCCGCGUCCAACAAGCUCAACCCCCCCGUCUUUGACCUCGGAUCAGGUAGGGAUACCCGCUGAACUUAAGC
RNAcentral lists this unclassified non-coding RNA (306 nucleotides) under plant metagenome. RNAcentral describes it as "partial contains 5.8S ribosomal RNA, internal transcribed spacer 2, and large subunit ribosomal RNA". The stretch from base 1 to 104 matches the Rfam family "5.8S ribosomal RNA", at positions 51 to 154 of the family's 154-position model. The record is from RNAcentral.